CUGUUCGAGCGUCAUUACAACCCUCAAGCACUCUUGCUUGGUCUUGGGCCGCACUACGCGUGGGCCCCAAAGUCAGUGGCGGUGCCGGUCGGCUUCCAAGCGUAGUAAUACUCCUCGCUUCCGGGACCGUCCGCGUGCCGCCAGAACCCAUACUUCUCAAGGUUGACCUCGGAUCAGGUAGGGAUACCCGCUGAACUUAA
Molecule: unclassified non-coding RNA, 200 nt
Filed under: soil metagenome
Description: partial contains internal transcribed spacer 2 and large subunit ribosomal RNA
Source: RNAcentral